GACGAACGCUGGCGGCGUGCUUAACGCAUGCAAGUCGAACGGAAAGGCCCUGCUUUUGUGGGGUGCUCGAGUGGCGAACGGGUGAGUAACACGUGAGUAACCUGCCCUUGACUUUGGGAUAACUUCAGGAAACUGGGGCUAAUACCGGAUAGGAGCUCCUGCUGCAUGGUGGGGGUUGGAAAGUUUCGGCGGUUGGGGAUGGACUCGCGGCUUAUCAGCUUGUUGGUGGGGUAGUGGCUUACCAAGGCUUUGACGGGUAGCCGGCCUGAGAGGGUGACCGGCCACAUUGGGACUGAGAUACGGCCCAGACUCCUACGGGAGGCAGCAGUGGGGAAUAUUGCACAAUGGGCGGAAGCCUGAUGCAGCAACGCCGCGUGCGGGAUGACGGCCUUCGGGUUGUAAACCGCUUUCGCCUGUGACGAAGCGUGAGUGACGGUAAUGGGUAAAGAAGCACCGGCUAACUACGUGCCAGCAGCCGCGGUGAUACGUAGGGUGCGAGCGUUGUCCGGAUUUAUUGGGCGUAAAGGGCUCGUAGGUGGUUGAUCGCGUCGGAAGUGUAAUCUUGGGGCUUAACCCUGAGCGUGCUUUCGAUACGGGUUGACUUGAGGAAGGUAGGGGAGAAUGGAAUUCCUGGUGGAGCGGUGGAAUGCGCAGAUAUCAGGAGGAACACCAGUGGCGAAGGCGGUUCUCUGGGCCUUUCCUGACGCUGAGGAGCGAAAGCGUGGGGAGCGAACAGGCUUAGAUACCCUGGUAGUCCACGCUGUAAACGGUGGGUACUAGGUGUGGGGUCCAUUCCACGGGUUCCGUGCCGUAGCUAACGCUUUAAGUACCCGCCUGGGGAGUACGGCCGCAAGGCUAAAACUCAAAGGAAUUGACGGGGCCCCGCACAAGCGGCGGAGCAUGCGGAUUAAUUCGAUGCAACGCGUAGAACCUUACCUGGGUUUGACAUGGAUCGGGAGUGCUCAGAGAUGGGUGUGCCUCUUUUGGGGUCGGUUCACAGGUGGUGCAUGGCUGUCGUCAGCUCGUGUCGUGAGAUGUUGGGUUAAGUCCCGCAACGAGCGCAACCCUUGUUCACUGUUGCCAGCACGUUAUGGUGGGGACUCAGUGGAGACCGCCGGGGUCAACUCGGAGGAAGGUGGGGACGACGUCAAGUCAUCAUGCCCCUUAUGUCCAGGGCUUCACGCAUGCUACAAUGGCUGGUACAGAGAGUGGCGAGCCUGUGAGGGUGAGCGAAUCUCGGAAAGCCGGUCUCAGUUCGGAUUGGGGUCUGCAACUCGACCUCAUGAAGUCGGAGUCGCUAGUAAUCGCAGAUCAGCAACGCUGCGGUGAAUACGUUCCCGGG
Molecule: ribosomal RNA, 1342 nt
Filed under: uncultured bacterium
Lineage: Bacteria
Description: 16S ribosomal RNA
Rfam family: Bacterial small subunit ribosomal RNA
Source: RNAcentral